RNAcentral lists this ribosomal RNA (466 nucleotides) under uncultured bacterium. RNAcentral's name for it is "partial 16S ribosomal RNA". It matches the Rfam family "Bacterial small subunit ribosomal RNA", at positions 28 to 507 of the family's 1533-position model. The record is from RNAcentral.
GAUGAACGCUGGCGGCGUGCUUAACACAUGCAAGUCGAACGAUGAAGCCCAGCUUGCUGGGUGGAUUAGUGGCGAACGGGUGAGUAACACGUGAGUAACCUGCCCUUGACUCUGGGAUAAGCCUGGGAAACUGGGUCUAAUACUGGAUAUGACUUCUCAUCGCAUGGUGGGGGGUGGAAAGAUUUAUUGGUCUUGGAUGGACUCGCGGCCUAUCAGCUUGUUGGUGAGGUAAUGGCUCACCAAGGCGACGACGGGUAGCCGGCCUGAGAGGGUGACCGGCCACACUGGGACUGAGACACGGCCCAGACUCCUACGGGAGGCAGCAGUGGGGAAUAUUGCACAAUGGGCGCAAGCCUGAUGCAGCGACGCCGCGUGUGGGAUGACGGCCUUCGGGUUGUAAACCUCUUUCAGUAGGGAAGAAGCGAGAGUGACGGUACCUGCAGAAGAAGCGCCGGCUAACUACGUG